GCAAUGCCUAUCUUUUGCCUUUCUUUGUAUCUCCAGCUCUUUGUAAAAUACCUAACACAUAACAAAUGCCUAAUAAACACUUAUUGACUGAUUGAUCUAGCUAGACCUGAAGGCAGGAAGACCUGAGACACUUUUUAGCUUUGUGACCUUGGCCAAGUCCCUUAAUUGUAGAAUUCCUUAAUUUCUUCAAAUAUAAAAUGGGGGAAAUAAUAGCACCCACCUCCUGAGAUUGUGUGAAGAUCAAAUGAGAUCAUAUUUGUGAAGAACUUAGCACACUGCCUGGUGCUUAGCAAGACCAUAAUUAAUGCUGGUUCCCUCCUCCUCCUUCCUUCUUAACCAUCCCAGUUUAUAGAGAUGUAUUUUUGUUUCCAAUGAACUCUCUUCAAUUUUCUCUGUUCUAGUUAUUUGGCACUUGGGAAAGCUUUUCUCUUUGUUAGCUGUCUUCAUAUAUCGUGUUUCACCAAUUUUGACAAUGAGCUCUGAAAGAACAGAAACCACAUUCCUACAGAACAUAUGACAAUGUCUUGUACACAAAAGAUGCUUGGUAGAUUUAUUGAAUGAGUGAAGAUAGGUUUCUCCCUACAGUCUGGUCUGUACUAUCCCUAAGCCUCCUCAAAAUAAGCAGUGUCCCUACCUUUUAGUACAGCUUCAUAUUGAGCAAUUCAAAUUCUCUCUUCCACUAAACCUGUUUAAUUUCAAAGGGAGAGUAAAGAAAAGAAACAAUCAGGAAAAUGCCAAGAGAAUUAUCUUCAUGGACCAUGAUUUCUUGAUUAUAGAAGUCAGCAGAAGUAGCAUUUGGAGAAGGGCUGGAACUGAAGUUUUGCAGCAUGGCAAUAACAAUUUGGUUACUGCGUCCAGAGCAUGAGGUGGAAAGUGGACAUGACCAUAUGAAGGAAAGAUAGUGAAGAAGAAUGGUUGGCUAGCUGGGACUGGCUACAUAUGAUAAGGACUGUUUGGAAGAAUAUAGAGCUGACAGCAGGAAGAUGGCAUGGAAAGAAGACAGUUGUGAAGCUUUUUUGGGUGACUGAGUUCAGAUCAAUAUAUUGAAUUUUCAGCAAUCAAUACUGCAUGACUCCAGGGAAAAUACUAGAGGUCUCAUUAGUCAGUGUUAGAAGGGCUUUGAAAAGACAGCCAUACAAAUAUACUGUUUA
Molecule: long non-coding RNA, 1151 nt
Filed under: Monodelphis domestica (gray short-tailed opossum)
Lineage: Eukaryota; Metazoa; Chordata; Mammalia; Didelphimorphia; Didelphidae
Description: lncRNA (ENSMODG00000050997.1)
Source: RNAcentral